CGCCAAAGACGGUGAUAGCCCGGUAGACGAAGACGAUGUGCUGGACGUAGUGGAUUUCCUGAGUAACGCCCGACCCGAGUAAUCGGGCGUGAAUCUGGGGGGACCACCCUCCAAGCCUAAAGACUCCUAUGUGACCGAUAGUGGACGAGUACCGUGAGGGACAGGUGAAAAGCACCCCUGUGCGGGGAGUGAAAGAGAUCCUGAAACCACAU
Molecule: ribosomal RNA, 212 nt
Filed under: Pycnococcus provasolii
Lineage: Eukaryota; Viridiplantae; Chlorophyta; Pseudoscourfieldiophyceae; Pseudoscourfieldiales; Pycnococcaceae
Description: partial Bacterial large subunit ribosomal RNA
Rfam family: Bacterial large subunit ribosomal RNA
Source: RNAcentral